This 492-nucleotide ribosomal RNA is filed under the name uncultured bacterium. RNAcentral's name for it is "partial 16S ribosomal RNA". It matches the Rfam family "Bacterial small subunit ribosomal RNA", at positions 29 to 507 of the family's 1533-position model. The record is from RNAcentral.
AGUGAACGCUGGCGGUAGGCCUAACACAUGCAAGUCGAACGGCAGCACAGUAAGAGCUUGCUCUUACGGGUGGCGAGUGGCGGACGGGUGAGGAAUACAUCGGAAUCUACUUUUUCGUGGGGGAUAACGUAGGGAAACUUACGCUAAUACCGCAUACGACCUACGGGUGAAAGCAGGGGAUCUUCGGACCUUGCGCGAUUGAAUGAGCCGAUGUCGGAUUAGCUAGUUGGCGGGGUAAAGGCCCACCAAGGCGACGAUCCGUAGCUGGUCUGAGAGGAGGAUCAGCCACACUGGAACUGAGACACGGUCCAGACUCCUACGGGAGGCAGCAGUGGGGAAUAUUGGACAAUGGGCGCAAGCCUGAUCCAGCCAUACCGCGUGGGUGAAGAAGGCCUUCGGGUUGUAAAGCCCCUUUGUUGGGAAAGAAAAGCAGCAGGUUAAUACCCCGCUGUUCUGACGGUACCCAAAGAAUAAGCACCGGCUAACUUCGUG